GAACCGUCCAAACGUUAUUCGGAAUCACUGGGCUUAAAGGGUGUGUAGGCGGCGUGGUAAGUUGGGUGUGAAAGCCCUCGGCUCAACCGAGGAAUUGCGCCCAAAACUGCCAUGCUGGAGGAAGGCAGAGGUAAGCGGAACUGAUGGUGGAGCGGUGAAAUGCGUUGAUAUCAUCAGGAACACCGGUGGCGAAGGCGGCUUACUGGGCCUUUUCUGACGCUGAGACACGAAAGCUAGGGUAGCGAACGGGGAUUAGAUACCCCGGUAGUCCUAGCUGUAAACGAUGAGCACUUGAUCGGAGGAUCCUCCAUAGUUUUCCCGAUCGUAGCGAAAGUGUUAAGUGCUCCGCCUGGGGAGUAUGGUCGCAAGGCUG
Molecule: ribosomal RNA, 373 nt
Filed under: uncultured organism
Description: partial 16S ribosomal RNA
Rfam family: Bacterial small subunit ribosomal RNA
Source: RNAcentral